This 484-nucleotide ribosomal RNA is filed under the name uncultured bacterium. Its description in RNAcentral is "bacterial SSU rRNA". It matches the Rfam family "Bacterial small subunit ribosomal RNA", at positions 29 to 507 of the family's 1533-position model. The record is from RNAcentral.
AUUGAACGCUGGCGGAAUGCUUUACACAUGCAAGUCGAGCGGCAGCGCGGGGGCAACCCUGGCGGCGAGCGGCGAACGGGUGAGUAACAUAUCGGAACGUACCCUGUCGUGGGGGAUAACUAUCCGAAAGGAUAGCUAAUACUGCAUACGACCUGAGGGUGAAAGCGGGGGACCGCAAGGCCUCGCGCGAUAGGAGCGGCCGAUAUCGGAUUAGCUAGUUGGUGAGGUAAAGGCUCACCAAGGCGACGAUCCGUAGCGGGUCUGAGAGGACGACCCGCCACACUGGAACUGAGACACGGUCCAGACUCCUACGGGAGGCAGCAGGUGGGUAAUUUGGACAAUGGGGGCAACCCUGAUCCAGCCAUUCCGCGUGAGUGAAGAAGGCCUUCGGGUUGUAAAGCUCUUUCAGCAGGAACGAAACGGUGAGGGUUAAUACCCUUUACUAAUGACGGUACCUGAAGAAGAAGCACCGGCUAACUACGUG